RNAcentral lists this ribosomal RNA (301 nucleotides) under uncultured bacterium. RNAcentral's name for it is "partial 16S ribosomal RNA". It matches the Rfam family "Bacterial small subunit ribosomal RNA", at positions 509 to 808 of the family's 1533-position model. The record is from RNAcentral.
CAGUAGCCGCGGGAAUACGUAGGGUGCAAGCGUUAAUCGGAAUUACUGGGCGUAAAGCGUGCGCAGGCGGUGUUGUAAGACUGAUGUGAAAUCCCCGGGCUCAACCUGGGAACUGCAUUGGUGACUGCAACGCUGGAGUGCGGCAGAGGGGGAUGGAAUUCCGCGUGUAGCAGUGAAAUGCGUAGAUAUGCGGAGGAACACCGAUGGCGAAGGCAAUCCCCUGGGCCUGCACUGACGCUCAUGCACGAAAGCGUGGGGAGCAAACAGGAUUAGAUACCCCCGUGUCCCUGUCUCUUAUACA